Molecule: long non-coding RNA, 285 nt
Filed under: Elaeis guineensis (African oil palm)
Lineage: Eukaryota; Viridiplantae; Streptophyta; Magnoliopsida; Arecales; Arecaceae
Description: long non-coding RNA (EGUI_LNC022673)
Source: RNAcentral
UGGGGUUUCAGGCUUAGUAUUUUAGGGUUUAUGGUUUUGCGGUUUAGGAUUUUAGGGUUUAGGGGUUUAGGAUUUAUGGUUUAGGAUUUUAUGGUUUAGGAUUUUGGGGUUUAGGAUUUAGAGUUUAAGAUUUAGAGUUUAGGCUUUAGGAUUUUAUGGUUUAGGGUUUAAGGUUUAGGAUUUAGAUUUUAAGGUUUUGGUGUUUAGGAUUUUAGGGUAUAGGGUUUAGGGGUUUGGGUUUAGGGCUUAUGGUUUAGAGUUACGGCUUUAGUGGUUUUGGGUUUA